GACGAACGCUGGCGGCGUGCUUAACACAUGCAAGUCGAGCGGUAAGGCCCUUUCGGGGGUACACGAGCGGCGAACGGGUGAGUAACACGUGGGUGACCUGCCUCUAGCUCUGGGAUAAGCCUGGGAAGCUGGGUCUAAUACCGGAUAUGACCUCGCGGUGCAUGUUGCGGGGUGGAAAGCCUUGUGCGGCUAGGGAUGGGCCCGCGGCCUAUCAGCUUGUUGGUGGGGUGAUGGCCUACCAAGGCGACGACGGGUAGCCGGCCUGAGAGGGCGACCGGCCACACUGGGACUGAGACACGGCCCAGACUCCUACGGGAGGCAGCAGUGGGGAAUCUUGCGCAAUGGGCGAAAGCCUGACGCAGCGACGCCGCGUGAGGGAUGACGGCCUCGGUUCGUAAC
Molecule: ribosomal RNA, 399 nt
Filed under: uncultured bacterium
Lineage: Bacteria
Description: bacterial SSU rRNA
Rfam family: Bacterial small subunit ribosomal RNA
Source: RNAcentral